GGGCCGGUAGCUCAAUUGGCUAGAGCACCCGCCUUGCACGCGGGAGGUUGCGGGUUCAAGCCCCGCCCGGUCCA
RNAcentral lists this transfer RNA (74 nucleotides) under bacterium. RNAcentral describes it as "tRNA-Ala". It matches the Rfam family "tRNA". Rfam says of the family: Transfer RNA (tRNA) molecules are approximately 80 nucleotides in length. The record is from RNAcentral.